Molecule: ribosomal RNA, 372 nt
Filed under: uncultured organism
Description: bacterial SSU rRNA
Rfam family: Bacterial small subunit ribosomal RNA
Source: RNAcentral
CGUAGGGCGCAAGCGUUGUCCGGAAUUAUUGGGCGUAAAGAGCUCGUAGGCGGUUUGUCGCGUCUGCUGUGAAAACCCGGGGCUUAACUCCGGGCUUGCGGUGGAAACGGGCAGACUAGAGGCAGGUAGGGGAGAAUGGAAUUCCCGGUGUAGCGGUGAAAUGCGCAGAUAUCGGGAGGAACACCGGUGGCGAAGGCGGUUCUCUGGGCCUGGUCUGACGCUGAGGAGCGAAAGCGUGGGGAGCGAACAGGAUUAGAUACCCUGGUAGUCCACGCCGUAAACGUUGGGCGCUAGGUGUGGGGUCUUUCCACGGAUUCCGUGCCGUAGCUAACGCAUUAAGCGCCCCGCCUGGGGAGUACGGCCGCAAGGCUA